UUUCCUACGGGACGCAGCAGUGGGGAAUAUUGCGCAAUGGGCGAAAGCCUGACGCAGCAACGCCGCGUGAGGGAUGAAGGUCUUCGGAUCGUAAACCUCUGUCAGCAGGGAAGAACGGUCACUGUGCUAAUCAGCAGUGAAUUGACGGUACCUGCAAAGGAAGCACCGGCUAACUCCGUGCCAGCAGCCGCGGUAAUACGGAGGGUGCGAGCGUUAAUCGGAAUCACUGGGCGUAAAGCGCGCGUAGGCGGCUUUUCAAGUCAGGGGUGAAAUCCCACGGCCCAACCGUGGAACUGCCUUUGAAA
This 305-nucleotide ribosomal RNA is filed under the name uncultured bacterium. RNAcentral's name for it is "bacterial SSU rRNA". It matches the Rfam family "Bacterial small subunit ribosomal RNA", at positions 335 to 632 of the family's 1533-position model. The record is from RNAcentral.